RNAcentral lists this ribosomal RNA (749 nucleotides) under Acetobacterium sp. enrichment culture clone SB2-85. RNAcentral describes it as "bacterial SSU rRNA". It matches the Rfam family "Bacterial small subunit ribosomal RNA", at positions 28 to 774 of the family's 1533-position model. The record is from RNAcentral. Lineage: Bacteria; Bacillati; Bacillota; Clostridia; Eubacteriales; Eubacteriaceae.
GACGAACGCUGGCGGUAUGCUUAACACAUGCAAGUCGAACGAGAAGAUUAUGAUUGAGCCUUCGGGUGAGAGAAUAAUUGGAAAGUGGCGAACGGGUGAGUAACGCGUGGGUAACCUGCCCUAUGGAAAGGAAUAGCCUCGGGAAACUGGGAGUAAUGCCUUAUGAAAUAGAGAAGUCGCAUGGCUUUUCUAUCAAACGCUCCGGUGCCAUAGGAUGGACCCGCGUCCCAUUAGCUAGUUGGUGAGAUAACAGCUCACCAAGGCGACGAUGGGUAGCCGGCCUGAGAGGGCGAACGGCCACACUGGGACUGAGACACGGCCCAGACUCCUACGGGAGGCAGCAGUGGGGAAUAUUGCGCAAUGGGGGAAACCCUGACGCAGCAACGCCGCGUGAAUGAUGAAGGUCUUCGGAUCGUAAAGUUCUGUCGAAGGGGAAGAAAGAAAUGACGGUACCCUUAGAGGAAGCCCCGGCUAACUACGUGCCAGCAGCCGCGGUAAUACGUAGGGGGCAAGCGUUGUCCGGAAUUACUGGGCGUAAAGGGCGUGUAGGCGGUUUUUUAAGUCAGAUGUGAAAGUUCGGGGCUUAACCCCGGAAUUGCAUUUGAAACUGGAGAACUUGAGUACUGGAGAGGUAAGUGGAAUUCCUAGUGUAGCGGUGAAAUGCGUAGAUAUUAGGAGGAACACCGGUGGCGAAGGCGGCUUGCUGGACAAAUACUGACGCUGAGGUGCGAAAGCGUGGGGAGCAAACA